CGUAGGGUGCAAGCGUUAAUCGGAAUUACUGGGCGUAAAGCGUGCGCAGGCGGUUAUAUAAGACAGAUGUGAAAUCCCCGGGCUCAACCUGGGAACUGCAUUUGUGACUGUAUAGCUAGAGUACGGUAGAGGGGGAUGGAAUUCCGCGUGUAGCAGUGAAAUGCGUAGAUAUGCGGAGGAACACCGAUGGCGAAGGCAAUCCCCUGGACCUGUACUGACGCUCAUGCACGAAAGCGUGGGAGACAAACAGGAUU
RNAcentral lists this ribosomal RNA (254 nucleotides) under uncultured bacterium. RNAcentral's name for it is "partial 16S ribosomal RNA". It matches the Rfam family "Bacterial small subunit ribosomal RNA", at positions 526 to 779 of the family's 1533-position model. The record is from RNAcentral.